Anopheles cruzii is the source of this 496-nucleotide long non-coding RNA. RefSeq lists it as uncharacterized. Lineage: Eukaryota; Metazoa; Arthropoda; Insecta; Diptera; Culicidae. The transcript has 3 exons. The record is from RefSeq and is a predicted model, not a curated record.
GGUCGUGUCGUGCUGGCUCCGGAGCACUCCGCGUAGUGGUGUGUCCAACUGGUGUCCCCAGUAAAGCGUGUGCCCUGCGUAGAUCUUUCAGCUUUCCAGCUUUAACGCGACUGAACUACGCGCAAGUGAUAUAUUAAGUAUCCAGUCCAGCUACCAGCAGGGCGGCUAGAUCAGCGAUGGUCAAUUCUGCGUUCGAUCUUCGGUCAUUGUAGCGUUGAGCAAACAUAAUCUUGAGACGCCCAGUUUCCGUUCGGAAGUAUUAAACAGCGCAAAGAAAGCCAAUAAAUAACGGUCCAUUAGGGCUACGAUGUAACACAUCAAAAAGUUUUGUGCGUCGGGGUACGGGAAACUCUUCCUGGCGCUUAAUCUAAUUAGCAGCCGCAUUGCUUCCUCGCUGCCCGGCUGGCUAAGCAGUGCCCGCCAGGUUUCGCUGAAGCUGGCCCGUUUUCGGUAGUGAAGCUACCAGAGGCCUAGAGGACGGAACCUUCAUUGGGAU